Molecule: long non-coding RNA, 1812 nt
Organism: Pseudopipra pipra
Lineage: Eukaryota; Metazoa; Chordata; Aves; Passeriformes; Pipridae
Exons: 5
Source: RefSeq, a predicted model, not a curated record
GUUUCCAGUAUUAGAUUGCAAAGAUGGCCUUUGCUGCAUUUCCUUGAACAAGGAAAGCCAAGAAACCUUUGGUUUUGCAGGAGAAAAUCUGGACAGCAGGAAGGAAGCAAAGAAGCCACGUGACUCCUCCCUGAGCCCCAGACAGCCCAUGAACUGCCUUCCUGGGAAUGGUGGGACAAGUGGACUCUGGAUUGCUCCCUCUGGAUGUGUGGCUCUCCCCUGCAGGAACUCCAGGAACUCCUGGUGCCGCCUGGGCCGAUGGAUUGGACGCCCCAGCCCCUCCGUUCCUGCCCAGCCCCUGGGGGCCGUGUCGAGUGGUGGGACUGCCAGCCCUGCAGUGGGAUGUAACCUGGAAACUCCCCAGAGCUGAGCCAAGGGAUUGAAAGGGAGCAACCAAGGGAGGUGAAGGAAGAAGGGAACUGAGGCAUCAGCCAAGCAGCACCAAGUUGCUGUAUAAGCAGGUGAGUUGUGUUGAGGUUCCUAAGGCAGGCACUGAGGAUUUUGAGGGCUCCAGACAGAGAAGACCUGGGAAGCCCCUCUGUGAAGCCCCUCAGAAACAUUAUAAAGGUUGGUGUGUAUGGUAAUGAGUGUUGGAAAAUGUCCUGAAUGUGGAACAGGAAUGCAAGGAAGGAAAAUGAACUCUCCUGUUAUGCUGACCCCUCCCAUCAGCUGCAGUGGAGAUACCUGUGUGUGCCCUUUGGGAGCAGAUUGCCAGGACACCCGGUGGGCUGGGAUCAUGGCAGGGUGUUGUAAGCAAGGAAUUCCUGGCUUCUAAAACUCACCAGCUGAGUCUUAGAGGCUUCUUUAAAGAGCUGAUUUCAGGCAGCAGAAUUGGCCCCCAGGAGGGACUCUGUGCCUGCUCUCCCAUGGCUCCAAGGGAUCUCUGGCCCUUCACGCCGGCACCGAGAUUUUCUCGGGAAGGGCCUCAGAUCCCCGGACCAGUCUGGGACACAGGCAAGAUCCCCCUGCAGUUUAGGACCAAAUUGGGCCCCCUGGAGGGACAGUGCUGUUGGUGCCCCCCGGGUUGGGGCACCCCGAGGACUCCAGCGUGCACCGAAAGGAUUAUUCGGGGAGAUCCUCGGGGUGCCCGGCCCUGGGGAGCUCAAAGCAAGGUCCCUGCAAUGGAUUCAGGCAUUCCUCAGAGUAUCCCAGGGGUCCCUGUCCCUGCUAGACAUGGAGCUCUCUAAUGGGCUUGUGGGAUUGGGAUUGGGAUUAAGAAAUGAGCAGUGAGAGUCCAAUUGGCUGUUUUCUCUUGACUGUAAUGGUGAGAGCUGCAGGAGUGCAAGGUGUGUGUUCCAGUCCCCAGCAUUUGGUUUGCACAUGUCCUGGUCAGACACAGGUCCAACUUCCUCAGUCCUUAACACAACAGAAGGAGUGUGGCUCCUUGUUUUCCUGUGUCUUUGGUGAGGUGUUGACUCAGUACCUUUCUUGGAGCUGCUGUUGGAUGAAGAGAUGCCCUCAAUUCACCUGUAAGGUCCUGGUUUUCUUCCCUGCUUCUCCCAGCUUGUCCAGUGGAUGGAAUUCCAGUGCUAUAGAACAGAUGGCUCGUGGUGCUCUCAAAAGGAGCCGUUGUCCCUCCAGGGGACACUGAGCUGCUCCAGCUGCGGCAAGAAGAGCCCUGAUGCCUGAGUGCUCUCCAGGCCCCCAGGCUGGAUCCCAACUGUCAGCCCCUGGCUCCAUCCCUUGAGAAGAUGGUGUUCCUGCAAGCCCAGCUGCUGUGCUGGUGGUCCUGGGCGCACCUCCUGCCCUGGCCUGCUGUGACUGUGUUUGUGUUGCAGCUCAAUAAAGUCCCUUUCAGUGCUGAUUGUGUCA